AAAAAGCUACUUCAUAUUUAGA
This 22-nucleotide small nuclear RNA is filed under the name Arabidopsis thaliana (thale cress). RNAcentral describes it as "snRNA_01105". Lineage: Eukaryota; Viridiplantae; Streptophyta; Magnoliopsida; Brassicales; Brassicaceae. The record is from RNAcentral.